RNAcentral lists this ribosomal RNA (437 nucleotides) under Rhinella margaritifera (mitred toad). Its description in RNAcentral is "partial 12S ribosomal RNA". It matches the Rfam family "Bacterial small subunit ribosomal RNA", at positions 913 to 1533 of the family's 1533-position model. The record is from RNAcentral. Lineage: Eukaryota; Metazoa; Chordata; Amphibia; Anura; Bufonidae.
ACGGUACCCACAUCCCCCUAGAGGAGCCUGUUCUAUAAUCGAUAAUCCGCGUUUAACCUCACCAUUUCUAGCUAUCAGCCUGUAUACCUCCGUCGUCAGCCUACCACGUGAGCGCUAACACAGUAAGCUUAAUGUUAUUUCACCCACACGUCAGGUCAAGGUGCAGCUAAUGAAAAGGAAAGAAAUGGGCUACACUUUCUACACUAGAAAACACGAAAAACUACUAUGAAAUCUAGUUUAAAGGCGGAUUUAGAAGUAAAAAGGAAUCAGCAUGUCCAUUUUAACUCGGCACUGGGGUGUGUACACACCGCCCGUCACCCUCUUCAAAACCACAACAUAAUUUUUAAUAAAUUUUUAACACCACAGAAGAGGUAAGUCGUAACAUGGUAAGUAUACCGGAAGGUGUGCUUGGGAAACGAAAUGUAGCUUAACUAAAG